Molecule: ribosomal RNA, 567 nt
Filed under: uncultured bacterium
Lineage: Bacteria
Description: partial 16S ribosomal RNA
Rfam family: Bacterial small subunit ribosomal RNA
Source: RNAcentral
UGGGGAAUUUUGGACAAUGGGCGAAAGCCUGAUCCAGCAAUGCCGCGUGUGUGAAGAAGGCCUUCGGGUUGUAAAGCACUUUUGUCCGGAAAGAAAUCCUUGGCUCUAAUACAGUCGGGGGAUGACGGUACCGGAAGAAUAAGCACCGGCUAACUACGUGCCAGCAGCCGCGGUAAUACGUAGGGUGCAAGCGUUAAUCGGAAUUACUGGGCGUAAAGCGUGCGCAGGCGGUUUGCUAAGACCGAUGUGAAAUCCCCGGGCUCAACCUGGGAACUGCAUUGGUGACUGGCAGGCUAGAGUAUGGCAGAGGGGGGUAGAAUUCCACGUGUAGCAGUGAAAUGCGUAGAGAUGUGGAGGAAUACCGAUGGCGAAGGCAGCCCCCUGGGCCAAUACUGACGCUCAUGCACGAAAGCGUGGGGAGCAAACAGGAUUAGAUACCCUGGUAGUCCACGCCCUAAACGAUGUCAACUAGUUGUUGGGGACUUCAUUUCCUUAGUAACGUAGCUAACGCGUGAAGUUGACCGCCUGGGGAGUACGGUCGCAAGAUUAAAACUCAAAGGAAUUGAC